GCAGUCGUGGCCGAGUGGUUAAGGCGAUGGUCUCGAAAACCACUGGGGUUUCCCCGCACAGGUUCGAAUCCUGUCGACUGCG
This 82-nucleotide transfer RNA is filed under the name Rhipicephalus sanguineus (brown dog tick). Its description in RNAcentral is "transfer RNA serine (anticodon CGA)". It matches the Rfam family "tRNA". Rfam says of the family: Transfer RNA (tRNA) molecules are approximately 80 nucleotides in length. Their secondary structure includes four short double-helical elements and three loops (D, anti-codon, and T loops). Further hydrogen bonds mediate the characteristic L-shaped molecular structure. tRNAs have two regions of fundamental functional importance: the anti-codon, which is responsible for specific mRNA codon recognition, and the 3' end, to which the tRNAs corresponding amino acid is attached (by aminoacyl-tRNA synthetases). tRNAs cope with the degeneracy of the genetic code in two manners: having more than one tRNA (with a specific anti-codon) for a particular amino acid; and 'wobble' base-pairing, i.e. permitting non-standard base-pairing at the 3rd anti-codon position. Lineage: Eukaryota; Metazoa; Arthropoda; Arachnida; Ixodida; Ixodidae. The record is from Rfam by way of RNAcentral.